Molecule: ribosomal RNA, 397 nt
Filed under: uncultured bacterium
Lineage: Bacteria
Description: bacterial SSU rRNA
Rfam family: Bacterial small subunit ribosomal RNA
Source: RNAcentral
GACGAACGCUGGCGGCGUGCUUAACACAUGCAAGUCGAGCGGAAAGGCCCUUUCGGGGGUACUCGAGCGGCGAACGGGUGAGUAACACGUGAGUAAUCUGCCCUUGGCUUUGGGAUAACUACCGGAAACGGUGGCUAAUACCGGAUACGACGUACUCAGGCAUCUGAUGUGCGUGGAAAGUUUUUCGGCCAGGGAUGUGCUCGCGGCCUAUCAGCUUGUUGGUGGGGUAAUGGCCUACCAAGGCUUCGACGGCUAGCCGGCCUGAGAGGGUGACCGGCCACACUGGGACUGAGACACGGCCCAGACUCCUACGGGAGGCAGCAGUGGGAAUAUUGGACAAUGGGCGGAAGCCUGAUCCAGCAACGCCGCGUGAGGGAUGACGGCCUCGGUUGUAACC